AUGAACGCUGGCGGCGUGCCUAAUACCUGCAAGUCGAGCGAACAGACGAGGAGCUUGCUCCUCUGACGUUAGCGGCGGACGGGUGAGUAACACGUGGAUAACCUACCUAUAAGACUGGGAUAACUUCGGGAAACCGGAGCUAAUACCGGAUAAUAUAUUGAACCGCAUGGUUCAAUAGUGAAAGACGGUUUUGCUGUCACUUAUAGAUGGAUCCGCGCCGCAUUAGCUAGUUGGUAAGGUAACGGCUUACCAAGGCAACGAUGCGUAGCCGACCUGAGAGGCUGAUCGGCCACACGGGAACUGGAACACGGUCCAGACUCCUACGGGAGGCAGCAGUAGGGAAUCUUCCGCAAUGGGCGAAAGCCUGACGGAGCAACGCCGCGUGAGUGAUGAAGGUCUUCGGAUCGGAAAACUCUGUUAUGAGGGAAGAACAAAUGUGUAAGUAACUAUGCACGUCUUGACGGUACCUAAUCAGAAAGCCACGGCUAACUACGUG
RNAcentral lists this ribosomal RNA (496 nucleotides) under uncultured bacterium. Its description in RNAcentral is "partial 16S ribosomal RNA". It matches the Rfam family "Bacterial small subunit ribosomal RNA", at positions 29 to 507 of the family's 1533-position model. The record is from RNAcentral.